GAAACACCAGUUCGUUCCCAUACGAUCACCGAAGUUAAGCAACAUUGAACAAGGUCAGUAUCUAGAUGGGUGACUGCUUGGGAAUACCACAUAUUGUA
Molecule: non-coding RNA, 98 nt
Organism: Acanthosepion pharaonis
Lineage: Eukaryota; Metazoa; Mollusca; Cephalopoda; Sepiida; Sepiidae
Source: the annotation of a GenBank genome assembly